GGGGAACGCAAAAAUAAUGUGCUUUUAGCUCAACAAUCUGUUAUUUUUUUGGUUUUCUCUAAAGAAAACUUAGAGUGAAGCAGAAAUUAACGUCCAUACAGGCUGCACAUGACUGAACUGAUUGGUUUCGAUGGCCUUUUAACAGUCUCAAGAUCAUGGAGGAGAUUCCAGGAGAUGGGCCAUUACACGAGGAGAGCUGGACAGGGCUGUAGAAAUCCCAUCCAGCUACAUCCACCCAGCUACAUUACUGGUAUUUGAUUUCCAUUGACCGUUUUUACAUCAUUUUGUUCUCAAUGAAUUACAUAAUGUACAGUAAAGAUUUUGAUCUUAACAAGUUUUUUCAAUUGCUAACACACUAUAAUGACAUACACAGCACAAUUAUGUAAACGGGCACACAGAGAGCAUAAGACACAACAGUCUGACAUAAAGUCACAUGUUUGCCAUUUCAAAACACUGCCAUUCAAAAUGACACUACAUGUGCCACCUCAGUGGUUAACUGUUACCACUUCAGUCAGGCAGUAAGCACUAUGAACAGACCACAGGUGAGCACUUUUUUUACAACAAUGGAAGACGUUGCAGAGAGAGGAACAGGAAGAGGGAGAGAAGGAGAAGAGGAGGAAGAGGGAGAGGUAUAUAUGUUGCACUGACUUGUUUGGUGAAAAAAAAAUUUUCAACAGCAUGUUUGUGUAUCUGCUAAUAUUUCUGUACAUGUGAACAAUCUGAAGAAUUUUCUACAAUUUGAAUUAUUUUAGUAUUAUGGCAAAUCAUACUAAAGAUGAGAGUGCUUUUCAUUAUGCCCAACAGUGUGUAGUUGGUUAGACAAAAAUCUGGUAAUAUGAAUAGAAGUGUGUGCCAUUUCAUGCAUGAUUUUGAUAUUGUCAUAUGUAGUUUUGGUUGCAGUGCUUCAUUUUGCAGGAUAUAUGAGGUAUUUUGCAGUUUGUGAAUUGUGUUUUAGCAAUUGGAAAAAACAGCAAGCGUGUGUAUGUGCAUCUGCAAGCAUGUGUGUGCGUGUGCGUGUGCGUGUGUGUGUGCGUGUGAAUGUGCUUCUGCAAGCGUGUGUGUGUGUGUGUGUGUGUGUGUGUAUGUGCAUCUGCAAGCGUUUGUGUGUGUGUUGAGGCAGAUAUGAAUCCUGGGUGGGCCGUUCAGUAGACAGACAGGAGUACAGCGGGGCGGUGGUAGUGGGGGUUAAUUCUGUGUGAGUGAGUGUAGAGAGAGAAGCCUGUCAGUCAGGAGGACACACCAGAGACGGGACCUGCUCUGCCAAGGGCUGACCCCGGCCCUCCCUGCCUGUAUGGCUGGUCGACCUGGCAGGUUGCCGUAGAGCGUGUGAAGCCCGGUCCUUUGUGUUAAGCCUGGGUUCUUGGUGCUAAGCCCGGGUUCAACUUCGUUUCCAACUCCACAUUCAUACAUGGACCUCUGGGCCUACAGUGCUUCUCUGGGUCCAAUCCACUGGUACCUACAAAUACCCCAACGGGGUGUAGAACAUUCCAGUCUCAGGCAGACUCAGGCGUUGUCAUGCGGACGUUCAGUUUGUUUCUAUCUGAAACUGCACAAGGCCGACUGAAAGUGGUUCUAAAAAUGUUUCCCCCUCAAUGCAUUUUCUGUGAGGCAGAAAAAGAGCUGUGUAAUGUGAGAAAUGCGUACCCUCCAAUUCUAGCAACGACUCCAAUGAUCACGGAUAAAUCCAGGCACAUGGUUGGAGGAGGGGGCUCUGUGGCUGUGGGUCGGGGGGGCGGGGACGCCCCCGUAGAGGGGGAUUUUGGGCUGAGGGAAGGUGUCUCACAGGGUUGAAUGGGUCAAGGCCACUGAUGCCUCACGGAGCUUCACAACACCUGACAAGAUAAGCCGGCCACAUCCUGUCUCCACUCCCCCCUGCCUGGGUCCAUCCACCUGAUGGAGCCUGAAGCACAGGCCUAACACAGCUCCUGGGAAGGGGUGAGAGAGGGGUUACGGAAGUUUGGAGAAAAGUGGAAGGGCAAGGGGUGUGUUAAGGGGGAGGCAGGAGGCAAUGGAGGUGCUGGGGGGUGAGUAGUGGUGGUCAGGGUUGAGGCAGGCGAUAAGAGGCGCGAGGAAAGAUGUGUGAAUGAUGGGUAGGAAAGGGAGGAAAGAGGGCUUUCAGCCCAGUGGGGAGUUAGGAGUUAAGGAGGAUACAGGCCUUCUAUGGGGCAAAGGUCAUCCUGCUGCCGGUGGGAUGGUUUUCACUACUUACCUAAAGACUCAAACAGGAAUACUGUGCAUUACAA
This is a long non-coding RNA of Esox lucius (northern pike), 2243 nucleotides long. The record is from Ensembl. NCBI's taxonomy places the organism in Eukaryota, Metazoa, Chordata, Actinopteri, Esociformes, Esocidae.